This 191-nucleotide ribosomal RNA is filed under the name Staphylococcus aureus. RNAcentral describes it as "partial 16S ribosomal RNA". It matches the Rfam family "Bacterial small subunit ribosomal RNA", at positions 1 to 186 of the family's 1533-position model. The record is from RNAcentral. Lineage: Bacteria; Bacillati; Bacillota; Bacilli; Caryophanales; Staphylococcaceae.
UUUAUGGAGAGUUUGAUCCUGGCUCAGGAUGAACGCUGGCGGCGUGCCUAAUACAUGCAAGUCGAGCGAACGGAUGAGAAGCUUGCUUCUCUGAUGUUAGCGGCGGACGGGUGAGUAACACGUGGAUAACCUACCUAUAAGACUGGGAUAACUUCGGGAAACCGGAGCUAAUACCGGAUAAUAUUUUGAAC